UCGCAAGAGAGCCGGAACACAGGUGCUGCAUGGCUGUCGUCAGCUCGUGUCGUGAGAUGUUGGGUUAAGUCCCGCAACGAGCGCAACCCUUGUCAUUAGUUGCCAUCAUUUGGUUGGGCACUCUAAUGAGACUGCCGGUGACAAACCGGAGGAAGGUGGGGAUGACGUCAAGUCCUCAUGGCCCUUAUGGGUAGGGCUUCACACGUCAUACAAUGGUCGGUACAGAGGGUUGCCAACCCGCGAGGGGGAGCUAAUCCCACAAAGCCGAUCGUAGUCCGGAUCGCAGUCUGCAACUCGACUGCGUGAAGUCGGAAUCGCUAGUAAUCGUGGAUCAGCAUGUCACGGUGAAUACGUUCCCGGGUCUU
This 365-nucleotide ribosomal RNA is filed under the name uncultured Rhodocyclaceae bacterium. RNAcentral describes it as "bacterial SSU rRNA". It matches the Rfam family "Bacterial small subunit ribosomal RNA", at positions 1016 to 1382 of the family's 1533-position model. The record is from RNAcentral. Lineage: Bacteria; Pseudomonadati; Pseudomonadota; Betaproteobacteria; Rhodocyclales; Rhodocyclaceae.